AUGGACAUAUCACGUUGAAACACCGGUUACCGUACGAUCGCCGAAGUUAAGCAACAUCGAGCUUGGUCAUUGCCUAGAUGGGUAACCGGUUGGGCAUACCAGUUGUUGCAAG
This is a non-coding RNA of Acanthosepion pharaonis, 112 nucleotides long. Lineage: Eukaryota; Metazoa; Mollusca; Cephalopoda; Sepiida; Sepiidae. The record is from the annotation of a GenBank genome assembly.